RNAcentral lists this long non-coding RNA (224 nucleotides) under Malus domestica (apple). Its description in RNAcentral is "long non-coding RNA (MDOM_LNC011986)". The record is from RNAcentral. Lineage: Eukaryota; Viridiplantae; Streptophyta; Magnoliopsida; Rosales; Rosaceae.
AGCCAAGUCAAAAGUGCCCAAAAAAGGUAACAAUUCAAAAACCAUCUCAUCAAAUCCCUCUUAUAAGGUAAUUCCCAAAACUUACCUCAUUCCAUAUAUAUUUACCUCUUUCUUUCCUUCUUUUAUCUAAUUAAUUAAGUUAUCAUUACAUAACCUCCCAAAACAUUUCUUUUAUUAUGAUAAUUAGCCAAUUAAUAUAUAUAUACCUAAUUAAUAUAUUAACU